RNAcentral lists this ribosomal RNA (301 nucleotides) under uncultured bacterium. RNAcentral describes it as "partial 16S ribosomal RNA". It matches the Rfam family "Bacterial small subunit ribosomal RNA", at positions 509 to 807 of the family's 1533-position model. The record is from RNAcentral.
CAGUAGCCGCGGGAAUACGAAGGGGGCUAGCGUUGUUCGGAUUUACUGGGCGUAAAGGGUGCGUAGGCGGAUUGUUAAGUCAGGGGUGAAAGCCCGGGGCUCAACCUCGGAAUUGCCUUCGAUACUGGCUGUCUUGAGUAUGAGAGAGGUGUGUGGAACUCCGAGUGUAGAGGUGAAAUUCGUAGAUAUUCGGAAGAACACCAGUGGCGAAGGCGACACACUGGCUCAUUACUGACGCUGAGGCGCGAAAGCGUGGGGAGCAAACAGGAUUAGAUACCCCCGUAGUCCCUGUCUCUUAUAC